GAUGAACGCUGACAGAAUGCUUAACACAUGCAAGUCAACUUGAAUUUGGGUUUUUAACUUAGGUUUGGGUGGCGGACGGGUGAGUAACGCGUAAAGAACUUGCCUCACAGCUAGGGACAACAUUUGGAAACGAAUGCUAAUACCUAAUAUUAUGAUAAUAGGGCAUCCUAUAAUUAUGAAAGCUAUAAGCGCUGUGAGAGAGCUUUGCGUCCCAUUAGCUAGUUGGAGAGGUAACGGCUCACCAAGGCGAUGAUGGGUAGCCGGCCUGAGAGGGUGAUCGGCCACAAGGGGACUGAGACACGGCCCUUACUCCUACGGGAGGCAGCAGUGGGGAAUAUUGGACAAUGGACCGAGAGUCUGAUCCAGCAAUUCUGUGUGCACGAUGAAGUUUUUCGGAAUGUAAAGUGCUUUCAGUUGGGAAGAAAAAAAUGACGGUACCAACAGAAGAAGUGACGGCUAAAUACGUGCCAGCAGCCGCGGUAAUACGUAUGUCACGAGCGUUAUCCGGAUUUAUUGGGCGUAAAGCGCGUCUAGGUGGUUAUAUAAGUCUGAUGUGAAAAUGCAGGGCUCAACUCUGUAUUGCGUUGGAAACUGUAUAACUAGAGUACUGGAGAGGUAAGCGGAACUACAAGUGUAGAGGUGAAAUUCGUAGAUAUUUGUAGGAAUGCCGAUGGGGAAGCCAGCUUACUGGACAGAUACUGACGCUGAAGCGCGAAAGCGUGUGUAGCAAACAGG
RNAcentral lists this ribosomal RNA (735 nucleotides) under uncultured Fusobacterium sp. RNAcentral describes it as "bacterial SSU rRNA". It matches the Rfam family "Bacterial small subunit ribosomal RNA", at positions 28 to 776 of the family's 1533-position model. The record is from RNAcentral. Lineage: Bacteria; Fusobacteriati; Fusobacteriota; Fusobacteriia; Fusobacteriales; Fusobacteriaceae.